GACGGGCCCGCACAAGCAGCGGAGCGUGUGGUUUAAUUCGAUGCUACACGAAGAACCUUACCAGGGUUUGACAUACAAGUAGUAGGGAAGGAAACUGGACCGACCUUCGGGGAGCCUCUACAGGUGUUGCAUGGCUGUCGUCAGCUCGUGUCGUGAGAUGUUCGGUUAAGUCCGCUAACGAGCGCAACCCUCGCUGUGUGUUACAAGUGUCACACGGUACUGCCGGAUAUUAAGUCGGAGGAAGGUGGGGAUGACGUCAAGGUCAGCAUGACCUUUAUAUCCAGGGCUACACACACGCUACAAUGGCCAGUACAAUGGGUUGCCAAGCCGCGAGGCGGAGCCAAUCCUAAAAAGCUGGCCUCAGUUCAGAUUGCAGUCUGCAACUCGACUGCAUGAAGUUGGAGUUGCUAGUAACCGCAGGUCAGCAAUACUGCGGUGAAUACGUUCCCGGGGAUU
RNAcentral lists this ribosomal RNA (456 nucleotides) under uncultured Anaerolineaceae bacterium. Its description in RNAcentral is "bacterial SSU rRNA". It matches the Rfam family "Bacterial small subunit ribosomal RNA", at positions 920 to 1378 of the family's 1533-position model. Lineage: Bacteria; Bacillati; Chloroflexota; Anaerolineae; Anaerolineales; Anaerolineaceae. The record is from RNAcentral.